UACGGGGGGAGCAAGCGUUGUUCGGAUUUACUGGGCGUAAAGGGCGCGUAGGCGGCGCAACAAGUCACUUGUGAAAUCUCCGGGCUUAACCCGGAGCGGCCAAGUGAUACUGUCGUGCUAGAGUGCGGAAGGGGCUACUGGAAUUCUCGGUGUAGCGGUGAAAUGCGUAGAGAUGCGGAGGAACACCGAUGGCGAAGGCAGCCCCCUGGGCCAAUACUGACGCUCAGGCACGAAAGCGUGGGGAGCAAACAGG
Molecule: ribosomal RNA, 253 nt
Filed under: uncultured bacterium
Lineage: Bacteria
Description: partial 16S ribosomal RNA
Rfam family: Bacterial small subunit ribosomal RNA
Source: RNAcentral